UUAAAGGUUAUCAUGAUGAAUUUUAAAGUAAAUAUUUAAAAUUUGUUUUCAGAUCACACAGCAAUUAGAGAAUAUCUGUCUACGGAUCAUUGACCUUGUUUUACAGAAGCACGUAAUUGAAUUCUAUGAAGAAAUUCUUUCACUGGCAUAUAGUUUAACCUGUCACACAAUUUCCCCUCAAAUGUGGCAACUUCUAGGUAUUUUAUAUGAAGUUUUCCAGCAGGAUUGCUUUGAAUACUUUACAGACAUGAUGCCUCUCCUGCAUAAUUAUGUGACAAUAGAUACAAAUACUUUACUAUCAAAUCCAAAGCAUUUAGAAGUACUUUUUACAAUGUGUAGAAAGUGCAUUCCUCUCUUUGUUCAACUUGUUUUGGAGAGAUUAACUCGAGGGGUCAAAACUAGUGAACUCCGUACGAUGUGUCUUCAGGUUGCAAUUGCUGCCUUGUACUAUAACCCUGAUUUGCUGCUACAUACUUUAGAUCGAAUUCAGUUGCCUCACAACCCUGGACCUAUCACUGUACAGUUUAUAAACCAGUGGAUGAGCGAUACAGAUUAUUUUCUUGGGUAUGUGUGCCUUUUGGACUUCAUAUUGAC
RNAcentral lists this long non-coding RNA (594 nucleotides) under Ictidomys tridecemlineatus (thirteen-lined ground squirrel). RNAcentral describes it as "lncRNA (ENSSTOG00000034623.1)". Lineage: Eukaryota; Metazoa; Chordata; Mammalia; Rodentia; Sciuridae. The record is from RNAcentral.